This 252-nucleotide ribosomal RNA is filed under the name uncultured bacterium. RNAcentral describes it as "partial 16S ribosomal RNA". It matches the Rfam family "Bacterial small subunit ribosomal RNA", at positions 524 to 776 of the family's 1533-position model. The record is from RNAcentral.
GACAGAGGAGCCAAGCGUUGUCCGGACUGACUGGGCGUAAAGCGCACGCAGGCGGCUGGGCAAGUGGGGUGUGAAAGCGCGCGGCUUAACCGCGCGAUGCAUGCCAGACUGCUCAGCUCGAGCGAUGCAGAGGGUGGUGGAAUUGCCGGUGUAGUGGUGAAAUGCGUAGAGAUCGGCAGGAACACCGAGGGGGAAGCCAACCACCUGGGCAUCGGCUGACGCUGAGGUGCGAAAGCGUGGGGAGCGAACUGG